This 588-nucleotide small RNA is filed under the name Pan troglodytes (chimpanzee). Its description in RNAcentral is "processed transcript". Lineage: Eukaryota; Metazoa; Chordata; Mammalia; Primates; Hominidae. The record is from RNAcentral.
AAUUUAGAGCAGAAGCAGCCAUCGAUAAAUACCAUGCCAUCUUCUAAGGGCACUGUGCGCCUCUGUUAUUAAGAGGAGCUCUUUGUUCUGUCCUUGGUGUGUGGUGCAUUCGUGAAAUUCUGCAGCACAUCGGCGAAAGAAAACGUUGUGUGACGUGAUCCUCAUGGUCCAGGAAAGAAAGAUACCUGCUCAUCGUGUUGUUCUUGCUGCAGCCAGUCAUUUUUUUAACUUAAUGUUCACAACUAACAUGCUUGAAUCAAAGUCCUUUGAAGUAGAACUCAAAGAUGCUGAACCUGAUAUUAUUGAACAACUGGUGGAAUUUGCUUAUACUGCUAGAAUUUCCGUGAAUAGCAACAAUGUUCAGUCUUUGUUGGAUGCAGCAAACCAAUAUCAGAUUGAACCUGUGAAGAAAAUGUGUGUUGAUUUUUUGAAAGAACAAGUUGAUGCUUCAAAUUGUCUUGGAGAAGCAGAAAAAGUUGAUCAGAGCCUUCCAGAGUGUGGUAUGCUUUUCACUGUGUGAUGAUCCUUAGUGGCACAUGAAUGAACGUCCAGAUGUUUGUGCAGUAGCCCACCCUUAUCUGCAGGAUA